This 253-nucleotide ribosomal RNA is filed under the name uncultured bacterium. Its description in RNAcentral is "partial 16S ribosomal RNA". It matches the Rfam family "Bacterial small subunit ribosomal RNA", at positions 524 to 776 of the family's 1533-position model. The record is from RNAcentral.
UACGGGGGGAGCAAGCGUUGUUCGGAUUUACUGGGCGUAAAGGGCGCGUAGGCGGCGCAACAAGUCACUUGUGAAAUCUCCGGGCUUAACCCGGAGCGGCCAAGUGAUACUGUCGUGCUAGAGUGCGGAAGGGGCUACUGGAAUUCUCGGUGUAGCGGUGAAAUGCGUAGAUAUCGAGAGGAGCACCUGCGGCGAAGGCGGGUAGCUGGGCCGACACUGACGCUGAUGCGCGAAAGCCAGGGGAGCGAACAGG